UAAAAAAUGGCUUAUCAAUUUCCAUCCUGAUAGACAGCAAAAUCCUCUCCCAUUUAUCUCCUCUUCUUCCAUGUUAUCUCUCUUCCCAAGGUCAUCGCAAUGUCAAUUCAUGUCUUCUAAAUUAGCAAGUCCGCAUAAAGUGUUUCAGUGGACACCUUCAAUGAUGUUCUGUGUGCCAGGAUACCACCUCCAAGACCCCAGUCACUCUCCUCUCUACUUACACUAUCCUACACAAACACACAUACACCCCCACACACAGACACACACACAGGCACACACCCCCCACACACGUAGACACAGAGACACCAGAACACAUUCGAGAAACCCAACCAAGACCAUCUUGACUAGUUAUUUCUCCUCUAUUUUCUACAAUAAUCUUUUCUUUAUCAACAAUUGAUAUGUUUUUGAAAUGAGACCAGACCUGGCUUGUAUGCAUCCACCAUCUUCUCCUGCCAUUAAUUGGAGUUUGGAGGCCAAACUCUAGGCACAGCUGCAUCGGCAUCAACAAUAACAAGAACCAUGUUGAGACACAGUUGAUCAUCACCAAAGCUCUUCUUUAGGUUGGAAGGGAUAGCUGAUCCGGCUGCUUCUGAGGCAUGACCAGGCUGGGGCAGCUAGCUGCAGAAAACCCCUGGUGUACCCAGAUAUCCUGCACCCCCAAAACUCCCCAUAAGACAAAACUAUAGAGACCAAGGGGUAGAAACCUAUGAAGAGUAACCGAGAAUGACUGAAUCAUAGGAAUGAAUGUUCCUGGAGCCUCUUUUCUAAAAAGUCUCCAGUAAACCUAAAACCAACCAGCCAAAGUUGGCCAAGGUCGGCCUUCAGGUACUCAGCAGAAAGGCCAAUCUCAAGGUUCACACAACCUUUUUGGCAGAACUCCUUUUCGGCAUUUCAGACUCUGGCACCCACAGCCCUGGAACAAAAACAUUUCAAUUUUCAAGAGCUGGCUAGGAAUUCUAGAGAAGGAGAAUUCAUUUAGAGUUUUGCACAUACAAGAAGUUGGGAGGAGGGUGAAGUCCAAAUGUGUGGGCAUAUUCUGCUUUUACUCCCUGUGUUUUUGGAAGACACCAUGUAUUCAGUGAUAUCAAGGGCUUCUGAAAUAUCCAGGUGUGCCUGUUCUAGUGAAUAAGUUGUCCCUGAGCUGGUGUCUGGGCAAUCUUCUGUUUAGUUAGGUACAAACCAAAGCACCUGACAGUGUCAAUGCCUUCAGGAGGCUACAGCACGGGAGCAUGUGAACGUGAAAUCCACUCAGGAGGGAGCUGGGGAGAUUGGGUCAGAGUUUCAGGUUCAGAGGGGAGAAUUCUACUAACUGGUUUGUAGAAUUCAGGAUUCUCACUGGACUGCCUUAAACAUCAGGACGUUAAACUACCACAAAUGGGAGUAUUUCUCAAUAUUCUACAGUUUGAAUUCCAAAUUCCCAAUUUUUGAAGUGUUGGUGAACCAGUUGCAAUGAUAUUUAGUUAACAGAUUCUAACACAAACUCAUUAUUUAUUUAAUAAUUUUUAAAAGAUUCAUUUAAAAAUAUAAAUGUAUUUUUUUAAAAUUAUUAUUAUACUUUAAGUUUUAGGGUACAUGUGCACAAUGUGCAGGUUAGUUACAUAUGUAUACAUGUGCCAUGCUGCUGUGCUGCACCCAUUAACUUGUCAUUUAG
This 1651-nucleotide long non-coding RNA is filed under the name Homo sapiens (human). Its description in RNAcentral is "HSALNT0200349". The record is from RNAcentral. Lineage: Eukaryota; Metazoa; Chordata; Mammalia; Primates; Hominidae.